UACGGAGGGUGCGAGCGUUGUCCGGAAUCACUGGGCUUAAAGGGCGCGUAGGCGGUCGACCAAGUCCGGGGUGAAAUCUUUCGGCUUAACCGGAAAAGUGCCUUGGAUACUGGUCGGCUGGAGGGAGGUAGGGGCAGGUGGAACUUCCAGUGGAGCGGUGAAAUGCGUUGAUAUUGGAAGGAACGCCGGUGGCGAAAGCGACCUGCUGGACCUCUUCUGACGCUGAGGCGCGAAAGCUAGGGGAGCAAACGGG
RNAcentral lists this ribosomal RNA (253 nucleotides) under uncultured bacterium. RNAcentral describes it as "partial 16S ribosomal RNA". It matches the Rfam family "Bacterial small subunit ribosomal RNA", at positions 524 to 776 of the family's 1533-position model. The record is from RNAcentral.